AGUGAACGCUGGCGGUAGGCCUAACACAUGCAAGUCGAACGGCAGCACAGUAAGAGCUUGCUCUUACGGGUGGCGAGUGGCGGACGGGUGAGGAAUACAUCGGAAUCUACUUUUUCGUGGGGGAUAACGUAGGGAAACUUACGCUAAUACCGCAUACGACCUACGGGUGAAAGCAGGGGAUCUUCGGACCUUGCGCGAUUGAAUGAGCCGAUGUCGGAUUAGCUAGUUGGCGGGGUAAAGGCCCACCAAGGCGACGAUCCGUAGCUGGUCUGAGAGGAUGAUCAGCCACACUGGAACUGAGACACGGUCCAGACUCCUACGGGAGGCAGCAGUGGGGAAUAUUGGACAAUGAGCGCAAGCCUGAUCCAGCCAUACCGCGUGGGUGAAGAAGGCCUUCGGGUUGUAAAGCCCUCUUGUUGGGAAAGAAAAGCAGCAGGUUAAUACCCCGCUGUUCUGACGGUACCCAAAGAAUAAGCACCGGCUAACUUCGUG
RNAcentral lists this ribosomal RNA (492 nucleotides) under uncultured bacterium. RNAcentral describes it as "partial 16S ribosomal RNA". It matches the Rfam family "Bacterial small subunit ribosomal RNA", at positions 29 to 507 of the family's 1533-position model. The record is from RNAcentral.